CUCUUUAAGAUCGUAGGGAUGUCGAUCUUGCGUCACGUUAAACAACAGGAACAAAAAGCAUGCAAGAGAACCACUGCGCUCACCUGAUAUGCUAAAGCACCAUUGGCACAUGCAGAGUGAUCCAUGGAGCUCCAUUUCCCUGUGUGUAAAUGACAGUAGGAGGUCGGAUAUGAGAUGCAUGUCAGCACAUGUCCCAGUCUGUGUUCCAUCGAGGAAGGAACCAUUGGACUGGUCAACGGAACCUGAGACCGUGAAGCCUGGACAUGCAGAACAAGCUCCAAAAUGGAAAGUGUCAGGGAUCUCCAAGCCUUCCAGCUUCAGCAGAAUCCAGGAUAUAACCAUCAUGUGGUGGGAUGAUCUUGAGCCCUUUUUCCCUCUGGUCCAAUGUGGUUCACCUUGUAAACAUCCACUGGAGAUGCUUGAAGGAGUUUGAUGACCGGUGUGUGAAAGAUUUUGAGAUGCUUUUCAAGCAACAGAAAGAUGAAGACCUCAUGAACACCCUAGCGGAGCUAAAAUUCUUUCUAAUGUUGCUUCCAGAUGUGUAAAUCUGCAAUAGAUUUGUACUUAGUACUGUUGCUAUCGGCCUUGCGUAGGGCAUGCAGCCUGAAAA
Musa acuminata subsp. malaccensis (wild Malaysian banana) is the source of this 610-nucleotide long non-coding RNA. RefSeq lists it as uncharacterized. Lineage: Eukaryota; Viridiplantae; Streptophyta; Magnoliopsida; Zingiberales; Musaceae. The record is from RefSeq and is a predicted model, not a curated record.